This 497-nucleotide ribosomal RNA is filed under the name uncultured bacterium. Its description in RNAcentral is "partial 16S ribosomal RNA". It matches the Rfam family "Bacterial small subunit ribosomal RNA", at positions 28 to 507 of the family's 1533-position model. The record is from RNAcentral.
GAUGAACGCUGGCGGCGUGCCUAAUACAUGCAAGUCGAGCGAACAGACGAGGAGCUUGCUCCUCUGACGUUAGCGGCGGACGGGUGAGUAACACGUGGAUAACCUACCUAUAAGACUGGGAUAACUUCGGGAAACCGGCGCUAAUACCGGAUAAUAUAUUGCACCGCAUGGUUCAAUAGUGAAAGACGGUUGUGCUGUCACUUAUAGAUGGAUCCGCGCCGCAUUAGCUAGUUGGUAAGGUAACGGCUUACCAAGGCAACGAGGCGUAGCCGACCGGAGAGGGGGAUCGGCCACACUGGAACUGAGACACGGUCCAGACUCCUACGGGAGGCAGCAGUAGGGAAUCUUCCGCAGUAGGCGAAAGCCUGACGGAGCAGCGCCGCGUGAGUGAUGAAGGUCUUCGGAUCGUAAAACUCUGUUAUUAGGGAAGAACAAAUGUGUAAGUAACUAUGCACGUCGUGACGGUACCUGAUCAGAAAGCCACGGCUAACUACGUG